This 542-nucleotide transfer RNA is filed under the name Streptococcus porcinus. RNAcentral's name for it is "partial 16S-23S ribosomal RNA intergenic spacer". The stretch from base 171 to 243 matches the Rfam family "tRNA". Lineage: Bacteria; Bacillati; Bacillota; Bacilli; Lactobacillales; Streptococcaceae. The record is from RNAcentral.
CUAAGGAAAUGGAAGACGUUUGGUCUUGUCUUAUUUAGUUUUGAGAGGUCUUAUUUAAGUUAUGAGAACGUUAAGAAAUCUGUAUGAAAAAGAUUUUAGUUUGAAUACAAUUAAGCUUCACGUAAUAGAAUAGUACCACCACUAAUAAUGUAACAACCAGUUUAUUAGUCGGGGCCUUAGCUCAGCUGGGAGAGCGCCUGCUUUGCACGCAGGAGGUCAGCGGUUCGAUCCCGCUAGGCUCCAUAGGAUAUAAGUCCACCUAAACUUAAUAAUAAGUGAAGUUGAACACGCAACUAACUUCCUAGGAAAAUAGAUAAUCUUCCUUGUGUGCAAGCACACUGUGUCAGAAUCCUAAUUUUCUACAGAAGUUUCGCUAAAGCGAGCGUUGCUUUGUAUCCUAAACAUAGUCCAUUGAAAAUUGAAUAACUAUAUCAAAUUCCACGAUCAUUAAAAUGAUUGUAGAAAAGUAACAAGAAAUAAACCGAAAAAAAGAUAAACGCGAACAUAUUAAAAAAAAUAAGAAGGUCGAAAGACUGGAAUAA